AACUUUUAACGGUGGAUCUCUUGGCUCGUGCAUCCGACAAAGAACGCAGCCAGCUGCGAUACGUAGGCCUAGUGUGAAUUGCAGAAUUCAGUGAAUCAUCGAAUCUUUGAACGCAAAUGGCGCUCUUGGUUAUACCGGGAGCAUGUCUGUCUGAGUGUUG
This 160-nucleotide ribosomal RNA is filed under the name Paramuricea clavata. RNAcentral describes it as "5.8S ribosomal RNA". It matches the Rfam family "5.8S ribosomal RNA". Rfam says of the family: 5.8S ribosomal RNA (5.8S rRNA) is a component of the large subunit of the eukaryotic ribosome. It is transcribed by RNA polymerase I as part of the 45S precursor that also contains 18S and 28S rRNA. The record is from Rfam by way of RNAcentral. Lineage: Eukaryota; Metazoa; Cnidaria; Anthozoa; Malacalcyonacea; Plexauridae.